Long non-coding RNA from Oncorhynchus kisutch (coho salmon), 543 nucleotides. RefSeq lists it as uncharacterized. The record is from RefSeq and is a predicted model, not a curated record. The transcript is spliced from 2 exons. NCBI's taxonomy places the organism in Eukaryota, Metazoa, Chordata, Actinopteri, Salmoniformes, Salmonidae.
CAACCCAUCAUUGAAGGAAGCCGUGGGACAGGCCAAAUGGACCACAGAUACACCCACACCCAGAUACACCCAGAUACACCCAUGCACCCCGACCCCUCUCCCCAUGCACAACUGGCAUUCAGCCUCGGGGGAUGCCUUGCUGACCACACCCUCCUUCCUUGCUCCUGGCCUGCCCUGCCUCUUCCACCAAUCCAAUUGUUUCUUAUGGACAGAAAAGAGCAGAGGCUCUGAGCUGUCCGAUCAGGUCCAGUGUGUGGAAAAAUCAUUGUUAUCGAGCAAUAAUGACAAACCUGGCAUUGACAACUUAGAUGGAAAGCUACUGAGGAUGAUAACUGACUCUAUAGCCACUCUUAUCUGUCAUAUGUUUAAUCUAAAUCAGCUUGCUGCCAACUUUAGUCAAACUGUUGGAAAAAAUUGUUUUACCAAAUUUUUCUCUGUGAACAAAUGAAUACGACUUUCAGCAGGUAUAUAGAGAAUGUCACCCAACAUGUACAGCACUGACACAUAUAACAGAUGAUUGGUUGAAAUAAAUUGAUAAAAAGA